AUUUUCUUGUAAGUGAGCCGGGCUGAAACAAAAUCCCUCUUCCCCAAGACCCCAACUCAAUUCCACUUUCCCAUUACAAAAAAACCCAUCUCCUGAAAACGCUCCAGCCACAAAAUCGUCACUUCCGAUCGACGCGUCAACCAUUAGACAAUACUUUUUCCCUCCCUGUCGGCUAGAGACCAUUGAAUACUCGCUCACUUAGGUAAGAGAAAGCGAAGGAAGCAACGAUGUCGUUUUCGGCCUUUUUUAUAUUAUUUUUUUUCUUAACGUAAUAAUUUCUUGUUUCGUCGUAUGAUGAAGAUGAAAUACGAGUUUUGGAUCUUCUAUCAACUGUAGUGUAUGCCGAAAAUAGUUUGAUUGCACUGGGCUUGUCGUCUGAGAGUUACUGUGUACGAACAAAAAUUUGGGGCUUUAUGCUUUGUCGAUCUUCUUUCAGUUUUAUGUAUAGGGGAAAAAUUGAGUUUCGAAAAUGUAGUUUGACAAUGCUGGGCUCAUUCAAUUCUACUUCAGAUUUACUGUGUGCGAGAAAUAAUUUUGAAUUUUGCUUCAAAUUUACUGUAGACGGUUCCUUAUUCCAAAAGAAUAUUUCUUUAUAUAAUCAGAAUAUUUUGAUAUAAGAUUUUUGUUUUUGUAUACAUUACACAAUCACAUGAAGGAGGUGUAUUCACAAUUUCCUAUGUUACUGGAUAAAAGAAAAUGCUAUAGUGUUGUUUUAAAUUCUAAGCAGGUUGUUUAAUGUGGUUGACUUGGGAAUGUUUAUUUAUUGUGGUUCAAAGAAAAUGCCUAUUUUGUGAGAAUGAUAUGUUUUCAUGUUGAUGUGAUUGUUCAAUGUGGUUGAAGUAGACUAGGUCGAUGGCAGGCAAGAAUCGGGGAAUAUUUAUUGUUGUAGACAAAGGAGACAUAUGCUGCCAGAGUGCUCGAGAAAGAGAAGCUAUCCAAAUUGUGGUCUGGGCUUCAUCAAAUGGAUGGAGGUCGAAAAGCACAAUGACCAUAAAGGACUAUUGUUCCAUUGUUGCACUUGCGACUGUAGGUAUUUCAAGUGGUGUAACGAAUCCCCUGAUGAAAAGUGUCCAUUGCAUGAUGAUGGUGAAUCAAGUGGCAUCAGAAAUGGAGGCGAACGGGUGGAUGAUUUGUCGCAAAUGUUAAAAAUGCUCGCUAAGCUAACUGACGAAAAAGACUUGAAGACCUCGCUCAAAAUAAAUAUGCGCAAAGGAAAACAAGAUUUGGAGAAUGAAAUUGAAUAUGUCAUGUAUUCGGAUGGUUUAGGAUGGUGUAUGACGAAAAAGACUCUUUCGAAUUGUUGUGCAAGUGUUUAUCUAUGAUAUGCUGGUACUUAUAUGUAAUCUGAUUUUGGAAAAAAUUGUGUUAAUGUUUGACGAGCUUCUCAAGGUGUCAACUCUCCCGUAUUUUGUCCGUAAUCUUAAUGAAGUACUUUUCUAUUUCUUCCAGCCAAUUAUGUCAACCCUCAGUGUUCUCAUUUCAGGUUCAUCUUUUAGAUUUAUUGCAC
RNAcentral lists this long non-coding RNA (1507 nucleotides) under Olea europaea subsp. europaea. The record is from RNAcentral. Lineage: Eukaryota; Viridiplantae; Streptophyta; Magnoliopsida; Lamiales; Oleaceae.